Molecule: ribosomal RNA, 494 nt
Filed under: uncultured bacterium
Lineage: Bacteria
Description: partial 16S ribosomal RNA
Rfam family: Bacterial small subunit ribosomal RNA
Source: RNAcentral
GACGAACGCUGGCGGCGUGCUUAACACAUGCAAGUCGAACGGAAAGGCCUGCUUUCCCUUGUGGAUUGCGGGUACUCGAGUGGCGAACGGGUGAGUAACACGUGAGUGAUCUGCCCCCAACUUGGGUAUAAGCCUGGGAAACUGGGUCUAAUUCCCGAUAGGACUGCAGGGUGGUGCCUGUGGUGGAAAACGAUUUUCUAGUAGUUGGGGAUGAGCUCGCGGCCUAUCAGCUUGUUGGUGGGGUAAUGGCCUACCAAGGCGGCGACGGGUAGCCGGCCUGAGAGGGGGGAAGGGAAAAUUGGGACUGAGAUACGGCCCAGACUACUACGGGAGGCAGCAGUGGGGAAUAUUGCACAAUGGGCGGAAGCCUGAUGCAGCGACGCCGCGUGGGGGAUGACGGCCUUCGGGUUGUAAACUCCUUUCGACCGCGAGGAAGCCACCUGGUUGGAAGGGUGGUGACGGUAGUGGUAGAAGAAGCACCGGCUAACUACGUG